UGGGGGCAACCCUGAUCUAGCCAUGCCGCGUGAGUGAUGAAGGCCUUAGGGUCGUAAAGCUCUUUCUGUGGUGAAGAUAAUGACGGUACCCAGUAAAGAAACCCCGGCUAACUCCGUGCCAGCAGCCGCGGUAAUACGGAGGGGGUUAGCGUUGUUCGGAAUUACUGGGCGUAAAGCGCGCGUAGGCGGACUGGAAAGUUGGGGGUGAAAUCCCGGGGCUCAACCUCGGAACUGCCUCCAAAACUAUCAGUCUAGAGUUCGAGAGAGGUGAGUGGAACUCCGAGUGUAGAGGUGAAAUUCGUAGAUAUUCGGAAGAACACCAGUGGCGAAGGCGGCUCACUGGCUCGAUACUGACGCUGAGGUGCGAAAGUGUGGGGAGCAAACAGGAUUAGAUACCCUGGUAGUCCACACCGUAAACGAUGAAUGCCAGUCGUCGGGUAGCAUGCUAUUCGGUGACACACCUAACGGAUUAAGCAUUCCGCCU
Molecule: ribosomal RNA, 484 nt
Filed under: uncultured Salipiger sp.
Lineage: Bacteria; Pseudomonadati; Pseudomonadota; Alphaproteobacteria; Rhodobacterales; Roseobacteraceae
Description: bacterial SSU rRNA
Rfam family: Bacterial small subunit ribosomal RNA
Source: RNAcentral